GUAGGAUCUUAUUCAAAAUUAGAUAACCCUUUUGUUAAAGUCCAUGUUUUGUUAAACUCUUUUGUUAAACUCCAUGUACAGAUGUGGACUGCAUACCUUAGUAACUAAACUGUAGGCAUGAUAGGUUGUCUGGUAUUUUAACAGUCUGGGUUGUCAUAAUAAGUAGACUAUAGUUUAACAGGUGUAUAGGAUUACAGACUCUUUGUGUUUCAUAUUUCUGUUUGGUGUGCUGGCAAGAAAAGCCAAGCCAGCUCACUCUCACUUUUGAUUUCGGAGAAGAAGGUCCAAUUUGGGGGUUUCCUAACCAAGGAAAAGGGCGUGUGCCACCCUACCCAGUGCGGGGAGGUUCCUUUCUACUCGAUGCCGAAUUACGGCUGUCAACCUAGGGUCAGCCCAGAGUCAAUGUGGAGUCAAUGUAGGUCAGGGUAGCACCUACCCUCUAUGUCCAGGUCAUGAGUCAAAAUGUCAUUCGAGGGGAAUGACUCACUUCAGUCAGCCGAAGCUAUUGUUCGUCGGACUCGACCGUAAUUCUUCCAAGUUAGAGCUUCAACUCAACUCUUGUUCUUCGUUCUUCAAGGACACGUGUCUUCUUCGCUGAUGACGUCAGUCGUGUUCUUCGUCGUCGUCGUCGAUCAUCGGCAUACUUGUUCCUCGUCAUAAUCGUCCAAUCUUCGUAGUCGUCGUGGUUUGUCGAUCUCUUCUGUUUUCGAACUCCGCAUUUACCCGAUUGAAGGUUUGAUCAAGCAAU
This 748-nucleotide long non-coding RNA is filed under the name Lytechinus variegatus (green sea urchin). RNAcentral's name for it is "uncharacterized LOC121405708". The record is from RNAcentral. Lineage: Eukaryota; Metazoa; Echinodermata; Echinoidea; Temnopleuroida; Toxopneustidae.